Molecule: ribosomal RNA, 253 nt
Filed under: uncultured bacterium
Lineage: Bacteria
Description: partial 16S ribosomal RNA
Rfam family: Bacterial small subunit ribosomal RNA
Source: RNAcentral
CACGUAGGAGGCGAGCGGUAUCCGGAUUCACUGGGCGUAAAGCGCGUUCCGGCGGUUUGGUAAGGUGGGCGUGAAAGCGCCUGGCUCAACUGGGAGAGGUGGUCCAAUACUACCAGACUAGAGUACGGUAGAGGAAAAUGGAAUUCCCGGUGUAGUGGUGAAAUGCGUAGAAAUCGGGAGGAACACCAGUGGCGAAGGCGACUUUCUGGUCUGUAAAUGUCGCUGAGGCGCGAAAGCGCGGGGAGCAAAUAGG